GCAGUCGACGACUUUCCUUUUGAUUGAUGCUUGCAUCAUGAUUUAGAUCUAAGUGAGUGGCGGACGGGUGAGUAACACGUGGGUAACCUGCCCAGAAGUGGGGGAUAACAUUUGGAAACAAGUGCUAAUACCGCAUAACAACAUUAAACACAUGUUUUUUGUUUAAAAGAUGGUUUUGCUAUCUCUUCUGGAUGGACCCGCGGCGUAUUAGCUAGUUGGUGAGGUAAUAGCUCACCAAGGCGAUGAUACGUAGCCGACCUGAGAGGGUAAUCGGCCACAUUGGGACUGAGACACGGCCCAAACUCCUACGGGAGGCAGCAGUAGGGAAUCUUCCACAAUGGACGAAAGUCUGAUGGAGCAAUGCCGCGUGAGUGAAGAAGGUUUUCGGAUCGUAAAACUCUGUUGUUGAAGAAGAACAUAUGUGAGAGUAACUGUUCACGUACUGACGGUAUUCAACCAGAAAGCCACGGCUAACUACGUGCCAGCAGCCGCGGUAAUACGUAGGUGGCAAGCGUUGUCCGGAUUUAUUGGGCGUAAAGAGAAUGUAGGCGGUUCAUUAAGUUUGAAGUGAAAGCCCUCGGCUCAACCGAGGAAGUGCUUCGAAAACUGGUGAACUUGAGUGCAGAAGAGGAAAGUGGAACUCCAUGUGUAGCGGUGGAAUGCGUAGAUAUAUGGAAGAACACCAGUGGCGAAAGCGGCUUUCUGGUCUGUAACUGACGCUGAGAUUCGAAAGCAUGGUAGCAACAGAUUAGAUACCCUGGUAGUCAUGCGUAACGAUGAGUGCUAGUGCUGAGGUUUCGGCGUCAAUGCUGCAGCUACGCAAUAGGCACUUCGGCUGGGGAGUACGAUCG
This 851-nucleotide ribosomal RNA is filed under the name Companilactobacillus alimentarius. Its description in RNAcentral is "bacterial SSU rRNA". It matches the Rfam family "Bacterial small subunit ribosomal RNA", at positions 57 to 888 of the family's 1533-position model. Lineage: Bacteria; Bacillati; Bacillota; Bacilli; Lactobacillales; Lactobacillaceae. The record is from RNAcentral.